AUUGAACGCUGGCGGCAGGCCUAACACAUGCAAGUCGAACGAGUGGCGGACGGGUGAGUAAUGUCUGGGAAACUGCCUGAUGGAGGGGGAUAACUACUGGAAACGGUAGCUAAUACCGCAUACCAUCAGAUGUGCCCAGAUGGGAUUAGCUAGUUGGUGGGGUAACGGCUCACCAAGGCGACGAUCCCUAGCUGGUCUGAGAGGAGGACCAGCAACACGGGAACUGAGACACGGUCCAGACUCCUACGGGAGGAAGCAGUGGGGAAUAUUGGACAAUGGGCGCAAGCCGAAUGCAGCCAUGCCGCGUGUAUGAAGAAGGCCUGCGGGUGGUAAAGUCCUUUCAGCGGGGAGGCGUUACUCGCAGAAGAAGCACCGGCUAACUCCGUGCCAGCAGCCGCGGUAAUUC
This 406-nucleotide ribosomal RNA is filed under the name uncultured bacterium. RNAcentral describes it as "partial 16S ribosomal RNA". It matches the Rfam family "Bacterial small subunit ribosomal RNA", at positions 29 to 526 of the family's 1533-position model. The record is from RNAcentral.